GACGAACGCCGGCGGCGUGCUUAACACAUGCAAGUCGAACGGAAAUGCCCUGCUUGCAGGGUACUCGAGUGGCGAACGGGUGAGUAACAUGUGGGUGAUCUGCCCUGCACUUCGGGAUAAGCCGAGGAAACUGGGUCUAAUACCGGAGAGGAGCCAUUUUUAGUGUGAUUGUUGGAAGGUUUUUUAGGUUUAGUAUGAGCUCGCGGCCUAUCAGGUUCUGGUUGGGGUAAUGGACUACCAAGGAGGCGACGGGGAGUCGGCCUGAGAGGGUGGACGGCAACGUUGGGACUGAGAUACGGCCCAGACUCCUACGGGAGGCAGCAGUGGGGAAUAUUGCACAAUGGGCGCAAGCCUGAUGCAGCGACGCCGCGUGGGGGAUGACGGCCUUCGGGUUGUAAACUCCUUUCGCUAGGGACGAAGCUUUUUGUGACGGUACCUAGAUAAGAAGCACGGGCUAACUACGUG
Molecule: ribosomal RNA, 465 nt
Filed under: uncultured bacterium
Lineage: Bacteria
Description: partial 16S ribosomal RNA
Rfam family: Bacterial small subunit ribosomal RNA
Source: RNAcentral